GCCGUGGUAGUGUAGAUUGUUGGCCAAUAAAGCCCACAAACACACUGGUCUAGCACUUGGGACUGUCGCUCCCAUAACCCGGGUUCAAAUCCCGGCCACGGCG
Molecule: transfer RNA, 103 nt
Filed under: Promethearchaeota archaeon
Lineage: Archaea; Promethearchaeati; Promethearchaeota
Description: Candidatus Lokiarchaeota archaeon (anaerobic digester metagenome) tRNA-Asp
Rfam family: tRNA
About the family: Transfer RNA (tRNA) molecules are approximately 80 nucleotides in length. Their secondary structure includes four short double-helical elements and three loops (D, anti-codon, and T loops).
Source: RNAcentral